CCAGACUCCUACGGGAGGCAGUAGUGGGGAAUAUUGCGCAAUGGGGGAAACCCUGACGCAGCAACGCCGCGUGAGUGAGGAAGUAUCUCGGUAUGUAAAGCUCUAUCAGCGGGGAAGAAAGAGGACGGUACCCGACUAAGAAGCCCCGGCUAACUACGUGCCAGCAGCCGCGGUAAUACGUCGGGGGCCAGCGUUAUCCGGAUUCACUGGGUGUAAAGGGAGCGUAGACGGCGACGCAAGUCUGGAGUGAAAGCCCGGGGCCCAACCCCGGGACGGCUCUGGAAACUGCGUCGCUGGAGUGCGGGAGGGGCAGGCGGAAUUCCUGGUGUAGCGGUGAAAUGCGUAGAUAUCAGGAGGAACACCGGCGGCGAAGGCGGCCUGCUGGACCGUGACUGACGUUGAGGCUCGAGAGCGUGGGGAGCAAACAGGAUUAGAUACCCGAGUA
Molecule: ribosomal RNA, 445 nt
Filed under: uncultured bacterium
Lineage: Bacteria
Description: bacterial SSU rRNA
Rfam family: Bacterial small subunit ribosomal RNA
Source: RNAcentral